GGUGAGAUGGCCGAGCGGUCCAAGGCGCCAGACUAAGGAUCUGGUCCGAAAGGGCGUGGGUUCGAAUCCCACUCUCAUCA
Molecule: transfer RNA, 80 nt
Organism: Phanerochaete carnosa HHB-10118-sp
Lineage: Eukaryota; Fungi; Basidiomycota; Agaricomycetes; Polyporales; Phanerochaetaceae
Rfam family: tRNA
About the family: Transfer RNA (tRNA) molecules are approximately 80 nucleotides in length. Their secondary structure includes four short double-helical elements and three loops (D, anti-codon, and T loops). Further hydrogen bonds mediate the characteristic L-shaped molecular structure. tRNAs have two regions of fundamental functional importance: the anti-codon, which is responsible for specific mRNA codon recognition, and the 3' end, to which the tRNAs corresponding amino acid is attached (by aminoacyl-tRNA synthetases). tRNAs cope with the degeneracy of the genetic code in two manners: having more than one tRNA (with a specific anti-codon) for a particular amino acid; and 'wobble' base-pairing, i.e. permitting non-standard base-pairing at the 3rd anti-codon position.
Source: Rfam